This is a long non-coding RNA of Triticum aestivum (bread wheat), 1105 nucleotides long. RefSeq lists it as uncharacterized. NCBI's taxonomy places the organism in Eukaryota, Viridiplantae, Streptophyta, Magnoliopsida, Poales, Poaceae. The transcript is spliced from 2 exons. The record is from RefSeq and is a predicted model, not a curated record.
UGCAAGGAAAUCUUGCUAAAGGUGGUGGCAAGGCAAUAUAUUAGUUCUCAAUUUCUAAAAAGAGUGUGCAAGGAAUAACAUAUACAAUGCGAAAGUGCUAAUGUGAUCACGAGCUGAGUGGUCUCGUUAUCUGUACCACAUGCGUCUCUCGUGAUGCGCGGAGGUGGUUCUGUCUUUCCAUCUGGAAUCUCCCGUCCAUAAUUUCUAUUAUGGCCCAUGGCCCACCAGCCGGACACAAUGAUGGAUACGCCGUCAGUCGACCGCACCACGGAACAGAAAUUCGGUGUCGCGAAUCAGAAAUUUGUCGACGAUGUGAGCCGGUUCCGAGGAGAUUCUGGACUAACCGAGGCACCUACUUCCAUUCAAUGCAAAUGCAUCUUCCCGUUGGAGGCAGCAAUCCCCCCUCCCCAAUCUUCUUAAUCCCCUCCACCUAGUCGAUUCCUCACCCAGAUCUGCAGCUACAUCCUAUCCAAUCCGAGCCAUUGCCAGCAACAUCUCCUUCCCAACCAUGUCCGCUUCAUCGUCAUCUGUAAGGUUAGGAUGGGAUCUUGCCCCUCGUUCCUUGUACAUAGUGCGGCGGGCAGGUCUACACCUGGAUUGCUCGAUCUGGAGUGAACGGUGGGCAUCGCUUCUACAAGUGUGUCAACAAGGAUAGGUGUGGAUACAUGAUAUCUUCUGAUUGCAGAUUGUCCAGCUGUCCUCGUGCCCAGCUGCUGGCUAACCAGCUGGUUGCAUAUUGCCAAGUUGUCCCCGCGCAUCUCCCGCUGGCAGCUUACUUGCACCGACGAGUUAUACCUGGCGAACCAAUCGAGCAAUGAAAGCGGGGAGGGGAGAUGGCGACAUAUGUCCGAGCGGAGCAGCUGCCAUGGAAGGGGAAGGAUCGGGCGUACCAGGCAGGUCUUCAUGGCAUGCACAAUGAUUGAUAAGAUAGUCUUAUCUUAAGUCUUGCACGUAAUUUAGAGAUGACAAAAGGAAAAGUCUACAAUGGGUCAUCUCUUAGCCUUAUCUUCAAUAACUAGCCAUUCCUAAAAAUGUGAUGAGACAUAUUGUGCUAAGAGAUCAUCUCUUUGUCUUCUCUUAAAUAAGAGAGACAAGCCUUUUCUUA